Molecule: long non-coding RNA, 205 nt
Filed under: Homo sapiens (human)
Lineage: Eukaryota; Metazoa; Chordata; Mammalia; Primates; Hominidae
Description: non-protein coding lnc-TMEM71-2:3
Source: RNAcentral
GGUGAGGAUUAAACAGGAGAAUGCACAGGAAGCUUGCAGCACCUGGUGAGAACUCAACGAAGGUGUGGGUCCGCCUUCUGAUGACGGAACCUGUUACAGCUGUCUGUCUGAAGCGAUGAGAUGAGGCAACCCUUGCUCUGGGAAGGCAGAGUCACCUGGCAUCAUCAAGGCCUUUAGCACCUGCUACCACUUGUCUGCUACGAAG